CUAAUACAUGCAAGUAGAACGCUGAAGAGAGGAGCUUGCUCUUCUUGGAUGAGUUGCGAACGGGUGAGUAACGCGUAGGUAACCUGCCUUGUAGCGGGGGAUAACUAUUGGAAACGAUAGCUAAUACCGCAUAACAAUGGAUGACACAUGUCAUUUAUUUGAAAGGGGCAAUUGCUCCACUACAAGAUGGACCUGCGUUGUAUUAGCUAGUAGGUGAGGUAACGGCUCACCUAGGCGACGAUACAUAGCCGACCUGAGAGGGUGAUCGGCCACACUGGGACUGAGACACGGCCCAGACUCCUACGGGAGGCAGCAGUAGGGAAUCUUCGGCAAUGGGGGCAACCCUGACCGAGCAACGCCGCGUGAGUGAAGAAGGUUUUCGGAUCGUAAAGCUCUGUUGUAAGUCAAGAACGAGUGUGAGAGUGGAAAGUUCACACUGUGACGGUAGCUUACCAGAAAGGGACGGCUAACUACGUGCCAGCAGCCGCGGUAAUACGUAGGUCCCGAGCGUUGUCCGGAUUUAUUGGGCGUAAAGCGAGCGCAGGCGGUUUGAUAAGUCUGAAGUUAAAGGCUGUGGCU
This 579-nucleotide ribosomal RNA is filed under the name uncultured Bacilli bacterium. Its description in RNAcentral is "bacterial SSU rRNA". It matches the Rfam family "Bacterial small subunit ribosomal RNA", at positions 48 to 609 of the family's 1533-position model. Lineage: Bacteria; Bacillati; Bacillota; Bacilli. The record is from RNAcentral.